AACGAACGCUGGCGGCAGGCUUAACACAUGCAAGUCGAACGGAUGUAGCAAUACAUCAGUGGCAGACGGGUGAGUAACACGUGGGAACCUUCCUCGUUGUACGGGACAACUCAGGGAAACUUGAGCUAAUACCGUAUACGUCCGAGAGGAGAAAGAUUUAUCGCAAUGAGACGGGCCCGCGUCGGAUUAGCUAGUUGGUGGGGUAACGGCCUACCAAGGCGACGAUCCGUAGCUGANCUGAGAGGAUGAUCAGCCACACUGGGACUGAGACACGGCCCAGACUCCUACGGGAGGGCAGCAGUGGGGAAGUCUUGGACAAUGGGCGGCAAGCCUGAUCCAGCCAUGCCGCGUGAGUGAAGAAGGCCUUAGGGUUGUAAAGCUCUUUUGCCAGGGACGAAUAAUGACGGUACCUGGAGAAUAAGCCCCGGCAAACUUCGCGCCAGCCGCCGCGGUAAU
RNAcentral lists this ribosomal RNA (456 nucleotides) under uncultured bacterium. RNAcentral's name for it is "bacterial SSU rRNA". It matches the Rfam family "Bacterial small subunit ribosomal RNA", at positions 29 to 524 of the family's 1533-position model. The record is from RNAcentral.